This 482-nucleotide ribosomal RNA is filed under the name uncultured bacterium. RNAcentral describes it as "partial 16S ribosomal RNA". It matches the Rfam family "Bacterial small subunit ribosomal RNA", at positions 30 to 507 of the family's 1533-position model. The record is from RNAcentral.
AUUGAACGCUGGCGGCACGCCUUACACAUGCAAGUCGAAUGGUAACAGGUCUUCGGAUGCUGACGAGUGGCGAACGGGUGAGUAAUACAUCGGAACGUGCCCGAUCGUGGGGGAUAACGAAGCGAAAGCUUUGCUAAUACCGCAUACGAUCUACGGAUGAAAGCAGGGGACCGCAAGGCCUUGCGCGAACGGAGCGGCCGAUGGCAGAUUAGGUAGUUGGUGGGAUAAAAGCUUACCAAGCCGACGAUCUGUAGCUGGUCUGAGAGGACGACCAGCCACACUGGGACUGAGACACGGCCCAGACUCCUACGGGAGGCAGCAGUGGGGAAUUUUGGACAAUGGGCGAAAGCCUGAUCCAGUCAUGCCGCGUGCAGGAUGAAGGCCUUCGGGUUGUAAACUGCUUUUGUACGGAACGAAAAGACUCUGGUUAAUACCUGGGGUCCAUGACGGUACCGUAAGAAUAAGCACCGGCUAACUACGUG